UGAGUAAUGUCUGGGAAACUGCCUGAUGGAGGGGGAUAACUACUGGAAACGGUAGCUAAUACCGCAUAACGUCGCAAGACCAAAGAGGGGGACCUUCGGGCCUCUUGCCAUCAGAUGUGCCCAGAUGGGAUUAGCUAGCAGGUGGGGUAAUGGCUCACCUAGGCGACGAUCCCUAGCUGGUCUGAGAGGAUGACCAGCCACACUGGAACUGAGACACGGUCCAGACUCCUACGGGAGGCAGCAGUGGGGAAUAUUGCACAAUGGGCGCAAGCCUGAUGCAGCCAUGCCGCGUGUGUGAAGAAGGCCUUCGGGUUGUAAAGCACUUUCAGCGAGGAGGGAGGUGGUGAACUUAAUACGUUCAUCAAUUGACGUUACUCGCAGAAGAAGCACCGGCUAACUCCGUGCCAGCAGCCGCGGUAAUACGGAGGGUGCAAGCGUUAAUCGGAAUUACUGGGCGUAAAGCGCACGCAGGCGGUUUGUUAAGUCAGAUGUGAAAUCCCCGGG
This 504-nucleotide ribosomal RNA is filed under the name uncultured bacterium. RNAcentral's name for it is "bacterial SSU rRNA". It matches the Rfam family "Bacterial small subunit ribosomal RNA", at positions 107 to 607 of the family's 1533-position model. The record is from RNAcentral.